GGGCGGAUGCCUUGGCACUAGGAGCCGAUGAAGGACGUGAUAAGCUGCGAUAAGCUUUGGGGAGUUGCACGUAAACUUUGAUCCGAAGAUUUCCGAAUGAGGAAACUCACUUAGAGUAAUGUCUAAGUAUCGUUAAGUGAAUACAUAGCUUAGCGAGGGGAACCCGGGGAACUGAAACAUCUAAGUACCCGGAGGAAGAGAAAGAAAUUCGAUUCCGUAAGUAGCGGCGAGCGAACGCGGAACAGGCCAAACCAAUGAAGUUUACUUCGUUGGGGUUGCGGACAUACAACAUGGAUGCAAUAUCGUAAAAUGAAGAGGAGUUGGAAAACUCCGCCAUAGAAGGUAAUAGCCCUGUAGUUGAAACGAGAAAGCUACUAGUAUGAUCCAGAGUACCACGGGACACGUGAAACCCUGUGGGAAGCAGGAGGGACCAUCCUCCAAGCCUAAAUACUACCUAGUGACCGAUAGCGCAUAGUACCGUGAGGG
RNAcentral lists this ribosomal RNA (486 nucleotides) under uncultured bacterium. Its description in RNAcentral is "bacterial LSU rRNA". It matches the Rfam family "Bacterial large subunit ribosomal RNA", at positions 23 to 509 of the family's 2925-position model. The record is from RNAcentral.